GACGAACGCUGGCGGCGUGCUUAACACAUGCAAGUCGAACGGAAAGGCCCUGAUUUUGUGGGGUGCUCGAGUGGCGAACGGGUGCGUAACACGUGAGUAACCUGCCCUUGACUUUGGGAUAACUUCAGGAAACUGGGGCUAAUACCGGAUAGGAGCUCCUGCUGCAUGGUGGGGGUUGGAAAGUUUCGGCGGUUGGGGAUGGACUAGCGGCUUAUCAGCUUGUUGGUGGGGUAGUGGCUUACCAAGGCUUUGACGGGUAGCCGGCCUGAGAGGGUGACCGGCCACCUUGGGACUGCGAUACGGCCCAGACUCCUACGGGGGGCAGCGGUGGGGAAUAUUGCACAAUGGGCGGAAGCCUGAUGCAGCAACGCCGCGUUCGUGAUGACGGCCUUCUGGUUGUAAACCGCUUUCGCCUGUGACGAAGCGUGAGUGACGGUAAUGGGUAAAGAAGCACCGGCUAACUACGUG
Molecule: ribosomal RNA, 468 nt
Filed under: uncultured bacterium
Lineage: Bacteria
Description: partial 16S ribosomal RNA
Rfam family: Bacterial small subunit ribosomal RNA
Source: RNAcentral